CAUCCUUUUCUUUCUAAUGGAAGGUGGAUUUUCAUUACAUUUUUCCGUUUGUGGUUUAGGUAGGACAGGUGAGCUGAAAAUAGUUUCACAAGUACACUAUAUGUGCCUUUACAUUUUUUUCCAUUCUACUUAAGGUAUGUGAUUUUUUAAGCGUCUCAAAUUUCAGUUUGGUUUGAUUUAAUGAUUUAUCAUUGUCUGAAACACUAGAGUUGUACUACUUGCAGGGGAAUUCCAGACAGAGUUCAUCCAUUCAGUAAAGGCAUAUGUUCAAACAUCUGUGGCUUUAGAUUCACUUGAAACUCUUGGUGAGUGUUGACACUUCCGAAUAAUGUUCAUCCUAGCUAUGAUUGUUUAUGUCAGUAUACAGUUUGCUCUCACCUUUUCCCCAAAGUGCAUGGGUAAGGCGCGGCAGGCGGCCGCUGCAGCUCGAGCCAUGGCCAUGGCCGGUGCAUGACAGUAAUAAUCAAAUGGUUUGUUGCCUACCUUACGCCGAGGAGGGGUUGCUUCUGUCGUCCUCACCGUCCGUGUCCAGCACCUCGCCCUUGCUCCGUCCAUGGACAAUGUUGCGUCCUGCCCCGACAUGCCCAAAUCUGAAGAGAAGAGGAGGAACAAACAGGGCGUCAGUCAGUCAGCCUCUUCGAUUCACGCAUGGGACUCGGUGGAAAUGCCAGCGCCGAGGAGGGAUUCAUCACCUAAUUGGCGCUUCGAGC
This 710-nucleotide long non-coding RNA is filed under the name Triticum aestivum (bread wheat). Its description in RNAcentral is "long non-coding RNA (TAES_LNC008129)". Lineage: Eukaryota; Viridiplantae; Streptophyta; Magnoliopsida; Poales; Poaceae. The record is from RNAcentral.